Molecule: long non-coding RNA, 609 nt
Filed under: Canis lupus familiaris (dog)
Lineage: Eukaryota; Metazoa; Chordata; Mammalia; Carnivora; Canidae
Description: lncRNA (ENSCAFG00040000160.1)
Source: RNAcentral
CUUAUGACAUAGGAAUUCUUCUGUAUGUAUACAAUUUAAUAACAAAUUGGAUAUGUUAACAAAUUAAUCAAUACAUAAUCAUUAGCAGGGGCUGGAAAGCCAGGAUGGGUGCCAUCAGCCCACGUGGUCAUUGUAACAUUCAUAAAAGAUGGAAAGCUGAUAGAAAGAGCAUAAAGGAUGGUAAAACACACAGAAGCUGAGGAAAUUGCUAACACAUGCAGGUGAAGAAGAGAAUCUUUAAAAAGUGAUUUUUUUUCCCCAGUGAAGAAGAGAAUCUUUAAAAAAAAUUUUUUUUUCCCCAUUAGAGUUCAGAAUAAUUUCAAGAUGAUAGGCAGUGAUGCCAUAUAAACAGAACUUGGGAGCUUGAGAAAAUGUCCUGCUACCAAGACUGACCAAGGCAGAUUCUUAUUUAUGAAUAUAUGUAAAUGACUGAGCAUCUCCCAACAGGUGAGACAAUCCACCCCUGUGGAAGAAAGCAUGGUACCACACACACAAUUCAAACCCAGGAGGAAAAAUAGUUAUAAUUUGAAAAGGAACACUGACUACAGUAGCAGAGUACAAUUAAUGCAGUCAGAGACAUUACUGGCAACAUGCAGUCGUUCAGCCUGA